RNAcentral lists this long non-coding RNA (672 nucleotides) under Nicotiana benthamiana. RNAcentral describes it as "long non-coding RNA (NBEN_LNC002657)". Lineage: Eukaryota; Viridiplantae; Streptophyta; Magnoliopsida; Solanales; Solanaceae. The record is from RNAcentral.
AACUCUCAACUUUUUUUUUAUUUUAUAAGUUCAGAAUUUCUUCUCUGAUCGUCUCUUUGUCAUCUGUGACUUCAUCUCCAAUCUUCAACUUUUCUACAAUUUGACCGUAGGUGAGAAUUGGCCAUUCUUUGGAAAUACUAGGUGUUUCUAUCUCCUUCUUUGAGCCAUAGUCACCUAGAUUUUUGUCUCCAUGAUAUCUCUUCCUCUUUUGCUAUUUGUUGUAUCUCCAUUUAAAUUCUCAACUUUUCUCCUUUUCAGGCUGAGAUAGAAGUCUACCUUCAGUUAAUUGCUCCAACAUGGACAACUCUUCGAGGGCCUUAUUUUUCUUUACUUCCAACUUGCAAAACUCCACUCUAUUCCGGUCAACUAUAUCUCUCUUUAGGCAUCUUAGUUUUUGCAUUAGAGUAAAGUCAGGUAUGCCUCUGAUCUUAUAGCUUUGCCACCAGUGUUUAACUUAGUCAAUGAAUGCUUCCACUUGUAGCCACAUAUCUCAAACUUGAAGUAGGAGGGAAUGGCUUCCCAGUCACCGCAUUCUAAAAGUAAUGGAUUGUGAUCAGAAAUCACUCUUGGAAGAGCAAGCUUCUUCAUAGCCCCAAAGCUUUCACUCCGUUCAUUAGAGACUAGGAAUCUAUCAAUCCUGGAAGCUUGUAAUGAGUUCUCACCCCUUGACCA